This 421-nucleotide ribosomal RNA is filed under the name uncultured bacterium. RNAcentral describes it as "partial 16S ribosomal RNA". It matches the Rfam family "Bacterial small subunit ribosomal RNA", at positions 360 to 773 of the family's 1533-position model. The record is from RNAcentral.
AAUAUUGGACAAUGGUGGCAACCCUGAUCCAGCCAUGCCGCGUGUGUGAAGAAGGNCUNNGGAUUNUNAAGACCUUUAAUUGGNNNNNAAGGGUUUUAGGUCAAUACCGUGAAAUCAUGAUGUUACCAACAGAAUAAGCACCUGCUACCCAGGUAGCAGCAGCCGCGGUAAGACGGAGGGUGCAAGCGUUCAUCGGGAUUACUGGUCGUAAAGCGCGCGUAGGUUGUUCAGUAAGAUGGGUGUAAUAUCCCCGGGCUUGACCUGGGAACUGCUUUCAUUACUGCUGUGCUAGAGUACGGUAGAGGGUAGUGGAAUUACCUGUGUAGCGGUGAAAUGAGUAGAUAUAGGAAGGAACACCAGUGGCGAAGGCGACUGCCUGGACUGAUACUGACACUGAGGUACGAAAGCGUGGGGAGCAAAC